GGAUUAGAUACCCUGGUAGUCCACGCCGUAAACGAUGGAUACUAGGCGUUCGGGAAGUUAACCUCCUGAGUGCUGAAGCUAACGCAUUAAGUAUCCCGCCUGGGGAGUACGGUCGCAAGGCUAAAACUCAAAGGAAUUGACGGGGGCCCGCACAAGCGGUGGAGUAUGUGGUUUAAUUCGAAGCAACGCGCAGAACCUUACCUACCCUUAACAUCCCGGGACGAUUGCAGAGAUGUAAUUUCCUCUUCGGAGGCUCGGUGAUAGGUGCUGCAUGGCUGUCGUCAGCUCGUGCCG
RNAcentral lists this ribosomal RNA (294 nucleotides) under uncultured bacterium. Its description in RNAcentral is "partial 16S ribosomal RNA". It matches the Rfam family "Bacterial small subunit ribosomal RNA", at positions 775 to 1067 of the family's 1533-position model. The record is from RNAcentral.